UGACCUGCGGAAGGAUCAUUACCUAGAGUUUGGUGGACUUCGUCUGCUAUCUCUUACCCAUGUCUUUUGAGUACUUACGUUUCCUCGGUGGGUUCGCCCGCCGAUUGGACAAUUUAAACCAUUUGCAGUUGCAAUCAGCGUCUGAAAAACAUAAUAAUUACAACUUUCAACAACGGAUCUCUUGGUUCUGGCAUCGAUGAAGAACGCAGCGAAAUGCGAUAAGUAGUGUGAAUUGCAGAAUUCAGUGAAUCAUCGAAUCUUUGAACGCACAUUGCGCCCCUUGGUAUUCCAUGGGGCAUGCCUGUUGGAGCGUCAUUUGUACCUUCAAGCUUUGCUUGGUGUUGGGUGUUUGUCUCGCCUUUGCGGGUAGACUCGCCUCAAAACAAUUGGCAGCCGGCGUAUUGAUUUCGGAGCGCAGUACAUCUCGCGCUUUGCACUCAUAACGACGACGUCCAAAACUACAUUUACACUCUGACCUCGGAUCAGUAGAG
Molecule: ribosomal RNA, 491 nt
Filed under: uncultured Phoma
Lineage: Eukaryota; Fungi; Ascomycota
Description: eukaryotic LSU rRNA
Rfam family: 5.8S ribosomal RNA (bases 162-315)
Source: RNAcentral